Molecule: long non-coding RNA, 1413 nt
Organism: Felis catus (domestic cat)
Lineage: Eukaryota; Metazoa; Chordata; Mammalia; Carnivora; Felidae
Exons: 6
Source: RefSeq, a predicted model, not a curated record
ACCUGGCUGAAGUCCGACGCUUAACCGACUGCGCCACCCAGGCGCCCCAUCUGCUCAGUUCUUAUAUGCACAAGAUGACAAGGAAAAUGAUCGAAAAGUGAAAAAAAGUUGCAGAAUGUGAAGUUGGAAAAAUUGGGUUGAAGUUCAAAAUGACAUCUCUCUCUCUCUCUCGAGGCAGAACACCUUCAGGGUAAAUAUGUAUUGAACACUUCCCACGGCUUCAGCCCUGUGCUAAGGCUGCCAUAUUAGGAGAGGACUUGGGAGGAAUGAUGCUCACAAGCUCUGUUCCAAAAUGAUACACUACUCUUUCUUCUUGAGAGCUAAAGGAUGAAAACAAUGAGUCCAAUUCAUAGGCGACUGAUACAUCUCACGGCUAAAAAACCCUAAGAGUACCUAUCCUGUUUACUAGGUAUAUGGAACUGGGAAAACCUCGAUAUGUUAGAGGCUGGGAAGACCAAUAUCUGGCCAAAUGAAAAGGCAAGUUUAUUAGGAUGGUGAUGAUCCAAUAAAAGGAAUUACUUCAGCAGGACCUGGAAGAGGACACACACUUUCAUAUGGACAAAUUAGAGAGAGAGAAGAAGAGAGAGAGGCACAUGGAUGUAGCAUACACUGAAAAUUCUGUUGUCACAUUAAUAAAUUGGAAAAGAAUAUUUAACUGAUUUACAGAAAGGAAUCAGAAAAUAUGAAUCCAGUUACACCUCCAGAUUUCAACAAUUCACCCCACUGAGCUGUUGUUUUCUCUUGACCUUCUCUAUGAGGCAUCAGAGGCUUCCGAGGGGUAUCCGUUCACCACAAGAGCUCCCUUAGAAGCUGCUCAACUAUUAUGCUGUUUCUAGGCCGUGGAUACUUAAAUUUGGCACAUCCUGAAGCAACAAUAUGGUCACCCCAGACUGUGUCAUCUCAAUAACUGGAAGAAAUCAACAAUUGCCCUGUUAAAGCAUCUGUCAUUAUUCCACUUUAAUACGUGUCCAGCUUCCUCUAUUUCCCUUCCAGCUCACCCAGUCAUUUGCUUUGCUCUCCAGUUGCCCAAGCCCAAGCCCUGAGGGAUGCUGAGGACACUUAACACCCUUGUUCCCAAGAAGAGGAGAAGGCUGGUGUGAGGAAAGAAUGGUUUAAGCUUCAUGUACCAGCAUCCAGUGGGAAUGGGACCUAAGUACUCUGAACAUUCUGUCAGCUUGCUUACCUGAUAAGGCAAGAAUGAGAAUCAUUUUCCUAGGAAACAAUGGUAUCUGUCAUGAAACUGCAAAGACUAACAGUAUUUACAACUCCAACGGGGCUCCAGCAAUUAACCAUGAACCAGCUGCCUGUCACCUGGCCUUGAAGAAUAAUUCAGUCUUAUGUUCUUGUAGCUCUUUCCACCACUUUCGCCAGGAAGAGAAAAUGGAGGGUUACCAAUAAACCUUUUGCUUUAGA